GCUGAUAUGGCUCAGUUGGUAGAGCGCACCCUGUAAGGGUGAGGUCCCCAGUUCGACUCUGGGUAUCAGCACCA
Molecule: transfer RNA, 74 nt
Filed under: Klebsiella pneumoniae
Lineage: Bacteria; Pseudomonadati; Pseudomonadota; Gammaproteobacteria; Enterobacterales; Enterobacteriaceae
Description: tRNA-Tyr
Rfam family: tRNA
About the family: Transfer RNA (tRNA) molecules are approximately 80 nucleotides in length. Their secondary structure includes four short double-helical elements and three loops (D, anti-codon, and T loops).
Source: RNAcentral